GGCUAGGUGUGUUUUGUUUCUCCCAAGAAAACAUCAUAUGGUCAAAUCUGAAGUAUCGCUGUAAUGACACAAUACCUGAAGAUUUUCAAGACUUCAGGACUCAGCAUUUUCAAGGUGAUGCAGUUUAAAAAGAAAAUCCAGAUGCAACAAUGUUCAGCAUUAAGUAAACAGUACAAAACAGUCCACUUAUCUCUUCAAAUAUGUAACCCAAUUGUAUUUGAAUUAUGAAUAAAAAACAUGUUAAAGUGGA
Polypterus senegalus (gray bichir) is the source of this 250-nucleotide long non-coding RNA. RefSeq lists it as uncharacterized. The transcript has 2 exons. The record is from RefSeq and is a predicted model, not a curated record. Lineage: Eukaryota; Metazoa; Chordata; Cladistia; Polypteriformes; Polypteridae.